UUUAAUUAGUACAGCCUGUAUUAGUAAUGUCAUCUAUUCUUUACAGGCUAUGCUAAUCUAUGC
This is a microRNA precursor of Amphiprion ocellaris (clown anemonefish), 63 nucleotides long. The record is from Ensembl. Lineage: Eukaryota; Metazoa; Chordata; Actinopteri; Pomacentridae.